Molecule: long non-coding RNA, 196 nt
Filed under: Urocitellus parryii (Arctic ground squirrel)
Lineage: Eukaryota; Metazoa; Chordata; Mammalia; Rodentia; Sciuridae
Description: lncRNA (ENSUPAG00010009834.1)
Source: RNAcentral
CCUGGACCUCUUUCCAAUCAAACUUGUCUUGUAACCAGAGUUGAUGGGACUCCUCAGCCUAAAGGAUUAAUAUACUAACAAGGUCCUCUGGCUCUUGAAAACUCCGCUCAGACACCAACAUUUCAACUUGGUGAAACUCUAGACGAUCUAAUAUUGGCAUUAAUCACCUGUGAAAUCCUUCAUAUGUCCUUCAAAU